This 73-nucleotide transfer RNA is filed under the name Halodesulfurarchaeum formicicum. It matches the Rfam family "tRNA". Rfam says of the family: Transfer RNA (tRNA) molecules are approximately 80 nucleotides in length. Their secondary structure includes four short double-helical elements and three loops (D, anti-codon, and T loops). Further hydrogen bonds mediate the characteristic L-shaped molecular structure. tRNAs have two regions of fundamental functional importance: the anti-codon, which is responsible for specific mRNA codon recognition, and the 3' end, to which the tRNAs corresponding amino acid is attached (by aminoacyl-tRNA synthetases). tRNAs cope with the degeneracy of the genetic code in two manners: having more than one tRNA (with a specific anti-codon) for a particular amino acid; and 'wobble' base-pairing, i.e. permitting non-standard base-pairing at the 3rd anti-codon position. The record is from Rfam by way of RNAcentral. RNAcentral also lists the same sequence under 2 other names. Lineage: Archaea; Methanobacteriati; Methanobacteriota; Halobacteria; Halobacteriales; Halobacteriaceae.
GCCGCCGUAGCUCAGCUGGUAGAGCACUCCGCUGUUAACGGAGUUGUCCCAGGUUCGAGCCCUGGCGGCGGCG